RNAcentral lists this ribosomal RNA (387 nucleotides) under uncultured bacterium. RNAcentral describes it as "bacterial SSU rRNA". It matches the Rfam family "Bacterial small subunit ribosomal RNA", at positions 29 to 414 of the family's 1533-position model. The record is from RNAcentral.
AAUCAACGCUGGCGGCGUGCCUAACACAUGCAAGUCGAACGCGAACGUUCCGCAAGGGACAAGUAGAGUGGCGCACGGGUGAGUAACACGUGGACAACCUGCCUGGGAGUGGGGAGUAACCUUCCGAAAGGAGGGCUAAUACCGCAUAAGACGGGAGGACCUAAGUUCUCCGGUUGAAAGGAGCAAUUCGCUCUCAGAGGGGUCCGCGCCUGAUUAGCUAGUUGGUGAGGUAACGGCUCACCAAGGCUGCGAUCAGUAGCCGUCCUGAGAGGGAGCACGGCCACACUGGAACUGAGACACGGUCCAGACUCCUACGGGAGGCAGCAGUGGGGAAUCUUGCGCAAUGGGCGAAAGCCUGACGCAGCGACGCCGCGUGAGGGAUGACGG